This is a long non-coding RNA of Micropterus dolomieu (smallmouth bass), 323 nucleotides long. RefSeq lists it as uncharacterized. The transcript is spliced from 2 exons. Lineage: Eukaryota; Metazoa; Chordata; Actinopteri; Centrarchiformes; Centrarchidae. The record is from RefSeq and is a predicted model, not a curated record.
CUGCAGUUUCCCUGUGCUGCCACAAGAGGGCAAAUAAUGGGAAUCUGUAGUGCUGAUGUAGGCUACACUCCUGACCUGGAGUUAAAGGGCACAAUGGUUCCUUGGUAUUUCUGUAGCCAAUCGGCUGACACCUGUCUGAGGUCCUGACCUGCUGUAAGGAGCACCCUGGGACCCCAGCUGGCAUUCACAGUGUGUCUCUACUCCUCCACUCUUCAUAGCUGGAACACAUAUCCCCAGCGACUACACACUGUCCUGUACAACAGCUGUCUACUUAUAAUAUUACAAUGCAGUAAAUCUCAAAACAUAAACUGUUUUCCAACAAA